Molecule: long non-coding RNA, 583 nt
Organism: Monopterus albus (swamp eel)
Lineage: Eukaryota; Metazoa; Chordata; Actinopteri; Synbranchiformes; Synbranchidae
Exons: 3
Source: RefSeq, a predicted model, not a curated record
AAAAUAGGAACUGAAUGGAUUCACUCAACACUGUUACAUUGUAUUAAAUCAAGUGGCUUUUGUGAUUAUAACAAGUUUUCAGUUUUAGUUUAACCUACUAAAGUUUUAAAAGCUAACACAGGUGUAUUAAUUAAUUUGGACACAGAUGCAUUUCAUUAAUUGAGCAUGUCAUGAAGUUCACUUUUUUGAGUGUACAGUAACUGGUUCUCUCUUUGUCAAAGGUAACCAAGGAUCCACAGGAACACACUGUCAGGGGACACUCAAAACAAUACUACUACUAUUACUUCUCAGCAGUGACACAAGAAAAGCAAAGUGGCACAUUGGCAGAAGCACAGACCAAUUUGUUUGACGGGAAGGUCAUCACAGGCCUGCCAUGACACUGGAUUCCACUGGAGACUGGGCCAGCAUCAACUGGGGAAACAAAGAUGCCACAGCCAAAGAAAGAUGCGUACAACUGCCUUUCACCAUCUCCAAGUAAAUGGCAGUUGGAGACCUUUCCCAUGGAAAAUGCCAUGCAAACAGAGAUGACAGAAGAAGAGGAUGGCUUCUCAGAGCUGCCCCACACACACACACACAUGCCCCA